AUACGUAGGUGGCGAGCGUUGUCCGGAUUUACUGGGCGUAAAGGGAGCGUAGGCGGAUUUUUAAGUGAGAUGUGAAAUACUCGGGCUUAACCUGAGUGCUGCAUUUCAAACUGGAAGUCUAGAGUGCAGGAGAGGAGAAGGGAAUUCCUAGUGUAGCGGUGAAAUGCGUAGAGAUUAGGAAGAACACCAGUGGCGAAGGCGCUUCUCUGGACUGUAACUGACGCUGAGAUGCGAAAGCCAGGGUAGC
Molecule: ribosomal RNA, 247 nt
Filed under: uncultured bacterium
Lineage: Bacteria
Description: partial 16S ribosomal RNA
Rfam family: Bacterial small subunit ribosomal RNA
Source: RNAcentral